ACUGACAGCCAUGGUUACCGCGGCUGCUGGCACGGAGUUAGCCGGUGCUUCUUCUGCGAGUAACGUCACAGAUGUAAGGUAUUAACUUACACCCUUUCCUCCUCGCUGAAAGUGCUUUACAACCCGAAGGCCUUCUUCACACACGCGGCAUGGCUGCAUCAGGGUUUUCCCCCAUUGUGCAAUAUUCCCCACUGCUGCCUCCCGUAGGAGUCUGGGCCGUGUCUCAGUCCCAGUGUGGCUGAUCAUCCUCUCAGACCAGCUAGGGAUCGUCGCCUAGGUGAGCCUUUACCUCACCUACUAGCUAAUCCCACCUGGGCUUAUCCAUCAGCGCAAGGCCCGAAGGUCCCCUGCUUUCCCCCGUAGGGCGUAUGCGGUAUUAGCAGUCGUUUCCCAACUGUUAUCCCCCA
This 407-nucleotide ribosomal RNA is filed under the name uncultured bacterium. RNAcentral's name for it is "partial 16S ribosomal RNA". The record is from RNAcentral.